RNAcentral lists this ribosomal RNA (253 nucleotides) under uncultured bacterium. Its description in RNAcentral is "partial 16S ribosomal RNA". It matches the Rfam family "Bacterial small subunit ribosomal RNA", at positions 524 to 776 of the family's 1533-position model. The record is from RNAcentral.
UACGUAGGGGGCUAGCGUUAUUCGGAAUCACUGGGCUUAAAGCGUGCGUAGGCGGCUGAGAAAGUUGGGUGUGAAAUCCCUCGGCUCAACCGAGGAAUUGCGCUCAAAACUACUUGGCUUGAGGGAGUUAGAGGUGAGCGGAACUAAUGGUGGAGCGGUGAAAUGCGUUGAUAUCAUUAGGAACACCGGUGGCGAAAGCGGCUCACUGGGACUCUUCUGACGCUGAGGCACGAAAGCUAGGGGAGCGAACGGG